GUGGAUAAUCUACCUUUGGAUCUGGGAUAACAUUGCGAAAGCGGUGCUAAUACCGGAUAAGAUCGUAAUAUUUGCGGAUAUAACGAUGAAAGACUGCCUAUCCUUGGAAGCAGUUGUCUGGAGAUGAGUCCGCGUACCAUUAGCUUGUUGGUGGGGUAAAAGCCUACCAAGGCGACGAUGGUUAGCUGGUCUGAGAUGAUGAUCAGCCACACUGGAACUGACACACGGUCCAGACUCCUACGGGAGGCAGCAGUGAGGAAUUUUGCGCAAUGGGGUAACCCCUGACGCAGCAACGCCGCGUGAGUGAUGAAGGCUUUUGGGUCGUAAAGCUCUGUCAAUGGGAAAGAAAUUAUAAAUGGUUAAUAGCCAUAUAUAUUGACGGUACCUAUGAAGGAAGCACCGGCUAACUCCGUGCCAGCAGCCGCGGUAAUACGGGGGGUGCAAGCGUUAUUCGGAAUUAUUGGGCGUAAAGGGCGCGUAGGCGGUAUUAUAGGUCAGAUGUGAAAGUUCAGGGCUCAACUCUGAAAGAGCAUUUGAAACCCUAAUACUUGAGUAUGGGAGAGGGAAGUGGAAUUCCAGGUGUAGAGGUGAAAUUCGUAGAUAUCUGGAGGAACACCGGUGGCGAAGGCGACUUCCUGGACCAAUACUGACGCUGAGGCGCGAAGGCGUGGGUAGCGAACAGGAUUAGAUACCCUGGUAGUCCACGCAGUAAACGUUGAACACUAGGUGUAGCGGGUAUUGACCCCUGCUGUGCCGCAGCUAACGCAUUAAGUGUUCCGCCUGGGGAGUACGAUCGCAAGAUUAAAACUCAAAGGAAUUGACGGGGGCCCGCACAAGCGGUGGAGCAUGUGGUUUAAUUCGACGCAACGCGAAGAACCUUACCUGGAUUUGACAUCCUGGGAAUACCUUAGAAAUUUGGUAGUGCCUUUCGGGGAGCCCAGAGACAGGUGCUGCAUGGCUGUCGUCAGCUCGUGUCGUGAGAUGUUGGGUUAAGUCCCGCAACGAGCGCAACCCUUAUCUUUAGUUACCAUCAUUUAGUUGGGGACUCUAGAGAUACUGCCCCGGUUAACGGGGAGGAAGGUGGGGAUGACGUCAAGUCCUCAUGGCCUUUAUAUCCAGGGCUACACACGUGCUACAAUGGUAUGUACAAAGAGUUGCUAAGCCGCGAGGCCAAGCUAAUCUCAUAAAGCAUAUCUUAGUUCGGAUUGGAGUCUGCGACUCGACUCCAUGAAGUUGGAAUCGCUAGUAAUCGUAGAUCAGCAUGCUACGGUGAAUACGUUCCCGGGCCUUGUACACACCGCCCGACACACCAUGAGAGUUGACUGUACCAGAAGUUGUUGAGGUAACUUUCGGGAGCCAGGCACCUAAGGUAUGGUUGAUAAUUGGGGUGAAGUCGUAACAAGGUA
Molecule: ribosomal RNA, 1406 nt
Filed under: metagenome
Description: bacterial SSU rRNA
Rfam family: Bacterial small subunit ribosomal RNA
Source: RNAcentral